Paramormyrops kingsleyae is the source of this 1282-nucleotide non-coding RNA. The record is from the annotation of a RefSeq genome assembly. NCBI's taxonomy places the organism in Eukaryota, Metazoa, Chordata, Actinopteri, Osteoglossiformes, Mormyridae.
UAGUUUACAACAGGAAUAAAUAUGUUUCCUUACAUCAGUGAAAAGAUAGAUGUAAAAACAAAAUGUCCACCUAAAUGGACAUAAAUGAAUGGGUGGGGUCUCAGGAGGUUAAAAUAACAGCAUCAGUCGAUUAACCAAAACUGACAAGGCUAAACGAAAGGCUUCUGGGGCCCUUAGAAUGAUGUAACGAUGGCGGUUCAUCAAUGAACUGAAAAGUUUCUUCCAGAAUGUAUAUUGAAAUAAACAGUAAUAAUUUAAUCAUUAAAUGAUACAUCCAUCAAUUUGACAACCAUGUAUUCUGAUCAGAUGCAAUACCACACUACUGAAAUAAGAAUUCACAUUCUCUGACAUAUGCAAAGAAAUGCAGGGCUGAUCUAGAAAUGCUGUUUUACAUCAUCAGUUGUAAACGGAUCCAACAGCAAAGUUACUUCCAGUUCAUUAAGGCAAACAGCUAUAUGAUUAAAUGUAUGAUUUUUUAAAUUCUUCUAACAAUAUUAGGUAGCUGAUGUUUGAAUGACAAAAACAAUGAUUUUGUUAACUACUAUAAAAUCAUUUCAUGAAGCAGAAUCGCAACAUUGAUUUUUAUUUUAUAUGUAUUAUAGAUCUCAUGAUGUUUUAAUGGUACAAGUGAUUCAUGUUCACAAUGUUACCACAAAGAGGCUAAUUGGGAUCUUUCUGCUUUGUGGAGUAAUAUCAAAAAAGCAAAUUGUAAUUUGAGUGGAAUUGGUUCAUGCAACUGUCAACGGUAUAACACUGUAAAUGGUGCAGAUGGGUUGCAUUAAUUGAAUACAGAAGUACUUCUCUUGUCUGCUCAUGUCAUGUCUGUAUGUCAUAAGUUCCUCCCCCAAAACCUCAGAGCAGGUCAGUGAUGCAUCUUUCUUGCUUCAGUAAGGACAUCAUGUUGAAAGGAAUGAAGUUCACCGUUUUGCUGCUCUGGGCUACGGGGCUCGUCUGCAGUAAGGAUGUCAAGCAGAGUCCCUUUGCUCUAUUGAAACAGAAUGAUGAUUCUGUAGAAUUCAACUGCAGCCAUGACAUUUCAUCUUACAAGGUGAUACUGUGGUACCAACAAAAGGAAGAUGACAGAGCCUUGAAACUUAUUGGAUAUGUCUAUUACAAGAACGUCGACAUUGAAGGUCCAUACAAGGAUCAGCCUGCAGUACGGAGGCCAGCACAGCUGCAUCAAUCCGCCACAGAAGCUUGAUUGUUUCCCGCAGGUGUAUUAUGGCAGACAAAACACAUGAUGUGAGUCAGUAAAGUUUUUCCAUAUUAUUUGUUUGUUUGU